GACGAACGCUGGCGGCGUGCUUAACACAUGCAAGUCGAACGGAAAGGCCCUUCGGGGUACUCGAGUGGCGAACGGGUGAGUAACACGUGGGUGAUCUGCCCUGCACUUUGGGAUAAGCCUGGGAAACUGGGUCUAAUACCGAAUAGGACCACGCGCUUCAUGGUGUGUGGUGGAAAGCUUUUGCGGUGUGGGAUGGGCCCGCGGCCUAUCAGCUUGUUGGUGGGGUAAUGGCCUACCAAGGCGACGACGGGUAGCCGGCCUGAGAGGGUGACCGGCUACACUGGGACUGAGAUACGGCCCAGACUCCUACGGGAGGCAGCAGUGGGGAAUAUUGCACAAUGGGCGCAAGCCUGAUGCAGCGACGCCGCGUGAGGGAUGACGGCCUUCGGGUUGUAAACCUCUUUCACCAGGGACGAAGCGUAAGUGACGGUACCUGGAGAAGAAGCACCGGCCAACUACGUG
Molecule: ribosomal RNA, 462 nt
Filed under: uncultured bacterium
Lineage: Bacteria
Description: partial 16S ribosomal RNA
Rfam family: Bacterial small subunit ribosomal RNA
Source: RNAcentral